AAUAAAAUGCCUGAAAAAGGGUUACUUUGAUAGAGUGAAUCAUGUAUAAUUUUUAUACUUUUAUUA
RNAcentral lists this transfer RNA (66 nucleotides) under Schoutedenia ralumensis. Its description in RNAcentral is "tRNA-Ile". Lineage: Eukaryota; Metazoa; Arthropoda; Insecta; Hemiptera; Aphididae. The record is from RNAcentral.